AGUGAGUGGCGAACUGGUGAGUAACACGUGGGAAACCUGCCCAGAAGCGGGGGAUAACACCUGGAAACAGAUGCUAAUACCGCAUAACAACUUGGACCGCAUGGUCCGAGCUUGAAAGAUGGCUUCGGCUAUCACUUUUGGAUGGUCCCGCGGCGUAUUAGCUAGAUGGUGGGGUAACGGCUCACCAUGGCAAUGAUACGUAGCCGACCUGAGAGGGUAAUCGGCCACAUUGGGACUGAGACACGGCCCAAACUCCUACGGGAGGCAGCAGUAGGGAAUCUUCCACAAUGGACGAAAGUCUGAUGGAGCAACGCCGCGUGAGUGAAGAAGGGUUUCGGCUCGUAAAACUCUGUUGUUAAAGAAGAACAUAUCUGAGAGUAACUGUUCAGGUAUUGACGGUAUUUAACCAGAAAGCCACGGCUAACUACGUGCCAGCAGCCGCGGUAAUACGUAGGUGGCAAGCGUUGUCCGGAUUUAUUGGGCGUAAAGCGAGCGCAGGCGGUUUUUUAAGUCUGAUGUGAAAGCCUUCGGCUCAACCGAAGAAGUGCAUCGGAAACUGGGAAACUUGAGUGCAGAAGAGGACAGUGGAACUCCAUGUGUAGCGGUGAAAUGCGUAGAUAUAUGGAAGAACACCAGUGGCGAAGGCGGCUGUCUGGUCUGUAACUGACGCUGAGGCUCGAAAGUAUGGGUAGCAAACAGGAUUAGAUACCCUGGUAGUCCAUACCGUAAACGAUGAAUGCUAAGUGUUGGAAGGGUUUCCGCCC
Molecule: ribosomal RNA, 764 nt
Filed under: uncultured bacterium
Lineage: Bacteria
Description: bacterial SSU rRNA
Rfam family: Bacterial small subunit ribosomal RNA
Source: RNAcentral